GGAGSGUKMRAGCGUUAAUCGGAAUUACUGGGCGUAAAGGGUGCGUAGGUGGUUUAUUAAGUUAUCUGUGAAAUACCUGGGCUCAACCUGGGCAGGUCAGAUAAUACUGAUGGACUCGAGUAUGGGAGAGGGUAGUGGAAUUUCCGGUGUAGCGGUGAAAUGCGUAGAGAUCGGAAGGAACACCAGUGGCGAAGGCGGCUACCUGGCCUAAUACUGACACUGAGGCACGAAAGCGUGGGGAGCAAACAGGAUUAGAUACCCUGGUAGUCCACGCUGUAAACGAUGUCAACUAGCUGUUGGUUAUAUGAAUAUAAUUAGUGGCGCAGCAAACGCGAUAAGUUGACCGCCUGGGGAGUACGGUCGCAAGAUUA
RNAcentral lists this ribosomal RNA (371 nucleotides) under uncultured bacterium. Its description in RNAcentral is "bacterial SSU rRNA". It matches the Rfam family "Bacterial small subunit ribosomal RNA", at positions 527 to 896 of the family's 1533-position model. The record is from RNAcentral.